GACAAACGCUGGCGGCGUGCAUAACACAUGCAAGUUGAACGAGAUCUUUUCGAACAGAUCCUUCGGGUGACGUUUGGGAAGGGAAAGUAGCGGACGGGUGAGUAACGCGUGAGAAACCUGCCUUUCACAACGGGAUAGCAGCUGGAAACGGCUAUUAAUACCGUAUGAGACCCCACCAUCGCAUGAUGGAGAGGUUAAAGAUUUAUCGGUGAAAGAAUGGUCUCGCGUCUGAUUAGCUAGUUGGUAGGGUAACGGCCUACCAAGGCGACGAUCAGUAGCCGGCCUGAGAGGGUGUACGGCCACACUGGGACUGAGACACGGCCCCAG
This 327-nucleotide ribosomal RNA is filed under the name uncultured bacterium. RNAcentral's name for it is "bacterial SSU rRNA". It matches the Rfam family "Bacterial small subunit ribosomal RNA", at positions 28 to 334 of the family's 1533-position model. The record is from RNAcentral.